Molecule: long non-coding RNA, 2579 nt
Organism: Carassius gibelio (silver crucian carp)
Lineage: Eukaryota; Metazoa; Chordata; Actinopteri; Cypriniformes; Cyprinidae
Exons: 2
Source: RefSeq, a predicted model, not a curated record
CUCAUUGGCCACUCGACCGCACGUCAACGUCGCCGCCAUAUUGGAGCGGGCAACUCUCAUAACUCUCACAUCAGGACAGAAGAAAACGUACCUGACUCAUCGACAGAUUGGACACCUACACACCGUCACACGAUAAAGCAGAUCUCGGUGUGUUAUCUUUCACAGUCAUUUGCAAACAGGACAAGGACAGCCUUAAGGAAAGCUGAGGAAAGCUGUUCUCAGAGACAAGAGUAUACCUCCCUAGACUAAUGUUGUGUUUGUACUAAACCCAGAGCAGCCCUGAAUGAAUCUACAGAAUGACCCAGCUCAUAUUCUAAAGCGAUUAAUCGUUUGAAAGCAUUAAUUUAUACCAGAAAACAAGACAGAAAUACUAAGGAAGAACAUCUCUGCAUUAAUCACUUAAUCAUUUGAUUCUGAUUCAUUCAGAAAUUUCUAAUAAUGUUGAUACAAAUGCUAAUACUGCACUCAUGUUUAUAAUAAAAGAUGACUAAUCAUUCAUAAAACUUUUAAACCCAGCAAAGAAAUAAUGGAUGUUGCAUUAAGUAAUUAAUUUCUCAUUAAAUACAGUCAAGUAUAUUCCAGAUUUCUUCAUACUUGAUAUAAAAUUUGAUUAAUUGGCGUAUAUAUUCAGAUUUGAGAGGUUAAAGGGCAGAGAGCAUGAUCACUAUACAGCGGAUUCCUCACUGUUUCCUCACAUCAGCAAUAGUCUGGGGAAGAAAAAAUUAUUAGACUCUGUAUUCCAGUGCUAAUAUAUGAACAUCAUGAAACCAAGACAUUUGCAGGAGAUGCAUAAUGACCUCAGAUAUAUAUGUUUAUUAUCUACUCAAUAUAUUCAUUUUUAGAUUUUUAUUGGUUAAUUCUUAAAAUGGAAAAAAAUUCUGCCAAAGGUGAAAACUAUUGUUUUUCUUAGCCGCUGACAGAUAUUUGUUCUUGUUUUAAACAUGAACUCAUUUAUAUUUUAGUAAAUGGUUCUCGAUUUAAGGAUGUUCAGAUAUUUGAGCUGGAAAACAAGAGGAAGAGCAUCAUUCUCUGUGGUGAAGAAAGAACACCAUGACCUUCAUCAAAUUAAAAUCUCUCGUGUUUGUGUCCGAGUCGAACGGUGACAGGUAGAAGAAAAGAGUAAAAAAUAAACCUUGGACAAUCUUCCUAAAACAUACGUCUGCAGGAGCCUCGAUGAUUAUAAAUAUGCUUUAUGUUUAUCACAGUAUUAUUUCAUCAAGCCUUGUGCUCAUCUCCAUAUUUAUACUGAAAAUAAAAGUAGCUGUGAUCUUAUUCUAGUUAGCGGCUCUGAAAUCGAGUGACAGCUGAUUGGUUGAUUCACAAAUGUCUUCACAGACAAAAAGUGCUUCAUAUUCAAACACAGUUUAGAUUAACACUCAUAUAACUUUACUGUCUGUGUGAGAGGAAUCAAACAAUCAGAUCCUGCGAUCGUUUACUCUUCCUUAGCCUGAACAAGUGUUUUUUUCUUCUGCUGAACACUAAAGAAGAUGUUUUUUUGAGUGCGUACUGGUUGACGGCACCCAUUGACUUCUAUAAUAGAGGAAGAAAUACUAUGGGCUAAGUGAAUGGGUACCAUCAACCGUUUGGUGUUUAAAGCAUCAUCUUUUUAGCAUUCAGCAAAAGACAGAAACUCAUACAAAAAUAUAUAAUUUUUACAUUUUAUUUAAAAAAAUAUGUAAAAUAAGCACACACAGUUAAACUUUUAUUCCUAACUAGUAAUUCCCAAAGCAACCAACUAUGUGUCAUUGUUGUUAACUGAGACUGAAACUACUAAAAACAGUUUUCUGUAAUUGAAAUAAAGCUAAAGUAAAUCGUAUAAGCCACUAAUAAAUAUUGUAGAAACUUAAUUUUCUGUAAAGUUGCUUUGCAAUGAUUUGUAAAGUAAAAAGCGCUAUAAAUUAAAUGAAAACAGUACUAAAAUUAAAAGUAGUAACUUUUUACAAAAAAGUUGAAAUGCUAAAAUUAUUAAAACUGACAUAAACAUAAAGGCUAAAAAAAUAAUAAUAAAACUAAUUCCUAAACCUCAAACUGCAACCAUGAGGCUAAAAGCUAUGCUAUGUGUCACUCUCAGUAAGUGCUGUAACAGUUUAUAAAGACCUUGAUGUUGUUUGGACGCCAGAACCGUGUGUGUGUGUUUGUGUUUACCUGGAUGUUCCCGUGAUUGGCUCCUGGGAUGAUCUGAAUCCUCUCAAAGUCCCUCCCCAGGAUGAUGAUGUCACAGUCAGAGUAGUACGCCUGUCCCACGAGCCCCGGACAAAACAACACACACAGUCUGACACUGAUAAUCAAAGAGAGUUCUACAUAUCAUCUGAAUGUAAUGUUUUGCUACAUUUUUAUUUUUUUUAAUCGAGGAAUCAAAGUUUUAAGUUUUUUCAUUUACGGUUAAUAAUCUAUGCUGCUGCUGUUUUCUUAUCAUAUCAGACAAUAUCUGCCUUCAUUUUGCAUGCAUCUUGUUUACUCUCGCUUAUAAACUUUUUGUUGCUCCUUUUGUUGUGUUGUUUGUUUUUUAUCCUCAUUUGUAAGUCGCUUUGGAUAAAAGUGUCUGCUAAAUGAAUAAAUGUAAAUGUAAACUUAUCAAA